Molecule: ribosomal RNA, 253 nt
Filed under: uncultured microorganism
Description: partial 16S ribosomal RNA
Rfam family: Bacterial small subunit ribosomal RNA
Source: RNAcentral
UACGGAGGGUGCGAGCGUUAAUAGGAAUUACUGGGCGUAAAGCGUGCGCAGGCGGUUUGUUAAGCGAGAUGUGAAAGCCCCGGGCUCAACCUGGGAACCGCAUUUCGAACUGGCAAACUAGAGUCUUGUAGAGGGGGGUAGAAUUCCAGGUGUAGCGGUGAAAUGCGUAGAGAUCUGGAGGAAUACCGGUGGCGAAGGCGGCCCCCUGGACAAAGACUGACGCUCAGGCACGAAAGCGUGGGGAGCAAACAGG